AAUGCUAGGAAAAUGGGUCCAGCUUGGGGCUCAUAGUCUUGUGGUUCAGGGUUCAAAUCCUUGGGCCAGAUUGUGGCAAAGGAACUUACUCCUUGCCCAGUUUUUAUAGUUUUAUCAGACACCUAGUCUUGAUUUCCUAUCCACCUGGAAGAAAUCAGUAGAUUAUUCAGGCUUUUCCUGUAACUCUGUUCAGACCUUGAAGCUUUGGAGUGACUUGAAAACAUACGUAGUUAUGAUUGUAGUUUUCUACUGAUAAUUUUUUGUAGAUUAAGAUGUUUCUUCAUUUUUAAGCCUUUUAUUUGAUGAAUGUUGGUAUGAACCAUCUGAUUGUUUGAAUUGACCUUUUGAUAGGUGUUCAUCAGAGGGAAAGAACAAACCAAGUUGGAAGUAUUCAAGUCUCUGCAUUCUGGUCAUCCCCAGGUAAUGAGGCAAAGAUUAAUAGUGGUUUGCACUCAACUUGUCCAAUCGGCCCCAAGCAAACCAAUCCAACACUCAAACGGGGACAGACACAGUGUCUGGUGAUGGAAAGUAGCCCAGUGUUCAUGACAGAAAUCGAGAUUAUUCAACCAGGCGAAGUGCUUGGAGGUUUGAGGUAGGGACUUCAGUUGAUUUUGAAACUGUUGCUACUGGGGAGCGUAAGUCCCUGGUGUUCAUUUCUGUGUCAAUCCGCUUGGAAGGGAAUUGAAAGAGUUGGCCAGAUAUCCCUCGGCUUACACAAUGCAUACAAACCUCUAUUUUGAAGCAUACAGCAAAAAACCUCCCCAUCAAAGAUGCAGUGAGACCUUUUCAAGACUUGCUUAUGGGAAUCUUACAUGAAGGAUGAUGGUAAGAUGUAAGACCCUUCCAGCCUGUGGGGCUAAUGCCCCUAGAAUUAGGGUGCGUACUAAUUGCAGUGCCACUCGAGAUUCGAGGGGGGGAGCGAUUUAAGAGUUUCAUAGCUGAAGUGGCUAGUAUUGUAAAGACACUGGAUUUGUCAAUAACCUAAUCUUCACCUCUUCUGCACUUUUCUGAAAUGUAGUUUCACCCGUCUAACAAUUUUUGCAUGUUUUGAACAGAAAAUGUCCUUAAUUUCAAUAGCAAGACCACAUAUCCAAGCCACUGAUAGAAGUGUUUAAAUUAGCCCUGUCCAUUUGCUGAUUUUUCAGUUGUUCAAAACUCAAUUUUUGUGAUUUUGAAAAAUACAAACUGAAUUUUUUUUCUCAUCUGUUAUAAAAUUCCACCUUUAUAUAUAUCAGAUUUUGACGGAAAUUUAAAAGCGUGAGUCUCUUAGCGUUAUCAGUGGAAUUUUACUUAUUAAAAACCAAAAUUUGAAACACUUUCCUAAGACUGGCUUUUCUUUUUGGGGGGCAACUUUGUAGGCUUUGACUUUAUUGAAUUGCUGUAAGGUCUUUUAAGACAAAACCAAAUACCAAAGGCUAUAGAUGCAUGUGUAUAGCCUUACCAUACACGUAUUUAUAAUUCGGGGCGUGGAAAAUUUAGUGUUUUCAUGGAAACUUGUCGAGAAGUUGCUUAUUCACUGGGUCAUUCAUGAAGUGAAAAUAUAUCAUUGGCCAGAAAUUGAAAACCACAGGACAUGACAUAUUAAUAAUUUUUGGACAUGCAAAAAAUAAAACAAAACCAUUACAAAUAUACCACCAAAACCAACUUUGCUAUAUACUUACCGGUUUUGUUCAAGUUGAGGACAUGAAAAAAGCUAGCCAGAUGAAAUGCUCGUCCAUAAAAAUUUCAGUAAAAUCACAAGGCUAUAUAACCUUGCCCACAGUUUAUUACAGUUUGUUUAUGAAAUGCAUUUUUGAAGUUAUCAGGCGUCACUUUCAUUUUAUGGCUAUUUCAACACAAUUUUGAUCAUAUACAAUAACAGGUAACAGACUUGACAAAUUUUCAUGAAUUUCAUUUUCACAGACUCAUUUUUUAAAAAUCCCAAUAGAAAAAAAAUCGGACUGAAAAAUUCAGAAGUAUAUUUCCAUGAAAAGCUUUCAGAAAUAAUCAUCUUUGAUGAUUAGUUUCAGAGAAAUCACUGAAAACACUUUGUGACAAAAAAACUGGUAAAUCAGCAACACUUGGGCUUUCUUAAUUUUGGCAAAUUGCCUCGGAAAACAUUUGCCUCAUUUUCUGAAUUGCAACUUUUAAAUUAUGUUCAUAAUAUGUCAAUGAUUUUUUAUCAGAACAGAACAAAAAGACGAGGCUUGUGGUAUAGGCUAGAAGCCUCGUAAUUCUGUAAAUUAACAAUUUGCUUAAGUACCUUUAAGAAAGCACUCCUGAAGGCAUGAAUAUUCUCACGUAUGUAUAUUUCCGUUUUUUAUUAAUAUGUUCAUCUUUUAAGAGCAAUCAAGACAAUAUAGUCACAUUGAACAACAAAAACAGUCAACCACAACGGCAAUAUGCUACCUACACGUCAACAAGAUCUAGCCACAAACCUUGGUGGAUGUUAGUUAAAGCGUACCCACCUUAAACAGGGGUCCGAGUCAUUGAUACCAUGAGCAAAAUAAGGUUUAAUAGAAACAAUUGCUCACAGCAUGAGAAAACUGAUAAGUGUGUCAAAAUGCCAUAUGAUGCAUGUCUUGGAAUUAGUUCAAGUAUAUUGUAGAUGAUUUCUUUGCCCAAGUAAAUAAAUCACUUACCGGCAACUUAAAACCAUGGCCCUGAAAACCAUUUUAAAGGAAUCAUUCCCGAGCUCAGAAGAAUACAGUCCCAUAUAAUUUAAAAUGAAUGCCUAAGACUUCUUAAGUACACAUUGCAGCAUUACCAAUUAUCUACAUAUUCCCAAACAUCAGUACAAAGCAUCUUGG
Acanthaster planci (crown-of-thorns starfish) is the source of this 2789-nucleotide long non-coding RNA. The record is from RefSeq and is a predicted model, not a curated record. Lineage: Eukaryota; Metazoa; Echinodermata; Asteroidea; Valvatida; Acanthasteridae.